RNAcentral lists this ribosomal RNA (253 nucleotides) under uncultured bacterium. RNAcentral describes it as "partial 16S ribosomal RNA". It matches the Rfam family "Bacterial small subunit ribosomal RNA", at positions 524 to 776 of the family's 1533-position model. The record is from RNAcentral.
UACAGAGGUCUCAAGCGUUGUUCGGAUUCAUUGGGCGUAAGGGGUGUGUAGGUGGCGCGCUAAGUCGGGUGUGAAAUUUCGGAGCUUAACUCCGAAACUGCAUUCGAUACUGCGGUGCUUGAGGACUGGAGAGGAGACUGGAAUUCAUGGUGUAGCAGUGAAAUGCGUAGAGAUCAUGAGGAAGACCAGUGGCGAAGGCGGGUCUCUGGACAGUUCCUGACACUGAGGCACGAAGGCCAGGGGAGCAAACAGG